UACGUAGGGCGCAAGCGUUGUCCGGAAUUAUUGGGCGUAAAGAGCUCGUAGGCGGUUUGUCGCGUCUGCUGUGAAAACCUAAGGCUCAACCUUGGGCUUGCAGUGGGUACGGGCAGACUAGAGUGUGGUAGGGGAGACUGGAAUUCCUGGUGUAGCGGUGAAAUGCGCAGAUAUCAGGAGGAACACCGGUGGCGAAGGCGGGGUCUCUGGGCCGAUACUGACACUGGAGGAGCGAAA
This 237-nucleotide ribosomal RNA is filed under the name uncultured bacterium. Its description in RNAcentral is "partial 16S ribosomal RNA". It matches the Rfam family "Bacterial small subunit ribosomal RNA", at positions 524 to 758 of the family's 1533-position model. The record is from RNAcentral.